CCCUUAGAUGUUCUGGGCGGCCCGCGCACUACAAUGGCGCUUUCAGCGAGUUCCUAUGUUGAAUUUUCCUGGGUAUUCUUGGAAGCGGCGUCUUGACUUGGGAUAGAUCCUUGUAAUUGUUGGUUUUGAACGAGGAAUUCCUUGUAAUCGCGGUUGAUCAGCUCGCGUUGAUUACGUCCCUGCCCUUUGUACACACCGCCCGUCGCUCCUACCGAUUGAAUGUUCCGGUGAGCUCUUCGGACUGCGCGGUCUGCAGUUUCUGCGUUCCGUGCGGAAAGUUGCGCAAACCUUAACAUUUAGAGGAAGGAGAAGUCGUAACA
RNAcentral lists this ribosomal RNA (320 nucleotides) under uncultured eukaryote. RNAcentral's name for it is "partial 18S ribosomal RNA". It matches the Rfam family "Eukaryotic small subunit ribosomal RNA", at positions 1470 to 1796 of the family's 1831-position model. The record is from RNAcentral.